Molecule: ribosomal RNA, 508 nt
Filed under: uncultured bacterium
Lineage: Bacteria
Description: partial 16S ribosomal RNA
Rfam family: Bacterial small subunit ribosomal RNA
Source: RNAcentral
GACGGACGCUGGCGGCGUGCCUAAUACAUGCAAGUCGAACGCUUCUUUCCUCCCGAGUGCUUGCACUCAAUUGGAAAGAGGAGUGGCGGACGGGUGAGUAACACGUGGGUAACCUACCCAUCAGAGGGGGAUAACACUUGGAAACAGGUGCUAAUACCGCAUAACAGUUUAUGCCGCAUGGCAUAAGAGUGAAAGGCGCUUUCGGGUGUCGUUGAUGGAUGGACCCGCGGUGCAUUAGCUAGUUGGUGAGGUAACGGCUCACCAAGGCCACGAUGCAUAGCCGACCUGAGAGGGUGAUCGGCCACACUGGGACUGAGACACGGCCCAGACUCCUACGGGAGGCAGCAGUAGGGAAUCUUCGGCAAUGGACGAAAGUCUGACCGAGCAACGCCGCGUGAGUGAAGAAGGUUUUCGGAUCGUAAAACUCUGUUGUUAGAGAAGAACAAGGACGUUAGUAACUGAACGUCCCCUGACGGUAUCUAACCAGAAAGCCACGGCUAACUACGUG